This is a long non-coding RNA of Carya illinoinensis, 4103 nucleotides long. RefSeq lists it as uncharacterized. Lineage: Eukaryota; Viridiplantae; Streptophyta; Magnoliopsida; Fagales; Juglandaceae. The transcript has 3 exons. The record is from RefSeq and is a predicted model, not a curated record.
UCGGCACCGAAAACCCCAAGAAGCUCUCACAGGAGUCUCUCUCUCCCCAUGUCUCCAUCUCUCUCAUCUUUCUCUCUUUCUCUCUCAGUUGCUUGCUCAAAUUCUCUGGAACAUUUUUUUUACCUCGUUUGUGUUUCUCCUCCAUUUUCUUUCUCUCUCCCUAUGUCUCCGUCUCUCCCUCAUCUUUCUCUCUUCCUUUCUCUGUUAACUACAUUCUUGGUAACAAUUUUGUUUUUUGCCUUAUUUCAUUUCGGAAAGAAGCCACUCUGUAAAUUUGACUGAAGUUGUAAACUUUGUAACCAUUUUGGGCUUUCGUUGUAUGAACAAAGAGAGAGAGUUUAAUGAAGGAGGGCUCUACCCUGUAGUCUGCAGCUAUAAAUACACUGAUGCCAAAGAUCAAUCUUUCUCAAUGCAGUUAUUCAAAAUCCUUCUUCUUCAAUAGCAGGAAAAAUAAAAGCUCAUCAUGGAGACUUCUAAUGCUUUUGUUUUCUCUCAUGGAGACUUCUUUUUUCCGGUAAGCUUUUCCUUUUGAAACCCAACCAACGUUUCUUUUUCUUUGAACCCACCAUCUCUUUAGUUCUUCAGUUAUCCACAAAUCCUUAUCAGGAUCCGAACAUCAAGCUCAUCCCUGUGUGUCACCACCCUCAUUCCAUAAAAUUUCUGCAUCAGAAACCAUCACCAAUAGGCGACACUAUGAGCUCCUCCAUGCCAUGAACCAACCCUUAUUCUUCCUUGUCAAAAAUAGAGCACUCCUCACACACGAACUGCAUGGGUUUCUCCACCCAUUUAGCUCGGUUUUGCCACCACCCAACGCCAGUUUUCACCGUAGCACACUCAGCACAACCUCCAUCGCAGAGUGUCGCCACUUCUGACCUCCACCCAACCAACAUCCGUCGCACCCUUGGAUGGUGCCUCUGUCUCCAUGGUUUCCGUGUACCCACCAUGCAUCGCCGCCCAUAGCCACCGUGAGUGCCACCACAAGUGAUCCCCAGCCCUGCACCGAAGCUUCCCCUCUCCCUUGUUGUCAAUCUACUCCCUCGCCUCACAGAUCCUCCACCAAAAUAGAAACUCUGCCCCUUCCCCUCACGAUAUGCUUCAGGCGACAUGGGUAAAAAUCCACGCAAAUCAAGGAUAAAAUGAGAAGAAAUGUGUUUGACAAAAAUACUGUUCCUACCUCACUCGCAGUUAUAUAUCUUUAUAUAAUAAUAAGUAUUUAUCCUGUUGCAAUCUGAAUAAGCAGUAAAUUUAUAUUUUAUUUUUUUCUUUCUUUUUUAUUAUAUAGUUAUUUUUUUAACGUUUUGUUUUCUCCAUUCGUGUUUAUUUAUAUAAGGAAGUUUUAGUUUUUAGUGAGAUUAUGUUAAUGAUAUUUUUUUAAAAGAAUUUCAGACAAAACAAAUCUUUCAUUCUCCGUUUUGUAUUCCUUCCAAGUUAUCUUUUUAAACUCAUACCCAUCCUCUAUUCUAUCUCUCUAUCUCACGGCUCUCGAUUUUUCUUCAUCUUACUAAAAUCCAAAGCACCAAAACUAUAAAAUUUUAGAAUUUUUGAAAUUUGCUUGGUCGUGUUAGCUAUUCAACACAUAUCGAAGCUUUACAAGUGACCUUGAGAGAGAGGACAUCUCUAGCAGUUUGCAAUAGAUAGAGGAACAAUAGAUAGAGGAAGGGCUUUAUGAGGAUGGGGAUGAUGAAACAGAAAGUGCUUAUACUGCAAAAUUAGAUGAUCUUAAGGAGAUCUAAUAGAGAAUCGUUAUAAAGAUGAAGCAGCAAGAGUACAAGCAAAAAGAGAUCUGCUCAACUCCAUUGUGGAUUAUAGGAAGUCUGUUGAUUCAAUCCCACCCAAGGAUCAAGAGGCGGUAUGAUAUGAAAUUGCUAAUGAUGACUAUUACUAAUCUCAUGCUGUUUUGAUGAUGUUUUCAAUGUUUUUAACUUUUCAUUAUUUUCAAAUCAUUAAUGAGUGCAAUAAAGCAAAGAAGUAUUUCACCAUAGAAUGGCAGUACCAUUAACUUCAUUUAUUAUUUUUUAAUCAUACCUUUAUUUAUUAUUUAUUUUAUCAAACUUUUAAUUAUUUCCUUACAAAAAGCCUUUCAUUCAUCCUUCUCAAUAGCUAAUUGUGGGACACCCGGAAAGUGUGGAGACUUUUAGUGGGAGAGUAGUUAGAUUUGGCGAGAUAAAAUAAAUUAUGCACAUGAUUUCAUGUGAGAGUCAAGACAAAAGAGAUGGUGACAUUGGAGAGUGUAGAGACUUUUAGUGGCAGAGUAGUUAGAUUUGGUGAGAAAAUGGGUGAGGCUGUCGGGUUAGAAUUGGAUUUAUUAACAGUACUCCAUCAGUUAAUUUAAUGCAAUACAUGAUGGGAUAUUUGAAUGAAAAUAUCAUGCUGGAGACAUCAUUAAUUAAUUAGUAAUUACGUCAAGGUAUGCACCCCACCAUAAAUUAUUUUAUAUGUUAGUAAUUUAUAUUAAAGAGAAUAUAAAUCAAAAUGUGCGACAUGUUAGGUGUAUCAUUGAUGAUCAUCUCUAUCGAGUAUUAGGUGCGACGUGUAUGCUUUCUCCGCAUUCUUUAAUUUUUAAGUGAAGUAGAAAAAGAGAUUAAAUUUGAAGAGGGUCCAUUUCCAACUACCUAAAAGUAUAUUGGCUUAGCCUUACCUGCCAAAAUAUAUAAAAAUCAAAAGGUGAACAAUUUAAAUAAUUUAAUUAAAAAGACGAGAGAUGAGAGCUUACCUGCAAAAAUAUAUAAAAAUCAAAAGGUGAACAAUUGAAAUAAUUUAAUUAAGAAGACGAGAGAUGAGAGCGAGAGAGGUGGGUGCCAUGUAAUUCCGAAUUUGAACUAAUAGGCCCCACCAUAUUUAACAAAAGAUGAUCAUAACUCUCUCAUCUAAUAAGACAAAACGGUCCUACCAUGAGAUGAUAAUUGAAUGUGUACAACUUAAAACUGAUCAUGACUCGGACAAGUAAGAUAAAUAAGCGUGUACUCCGUGUCCUGAACUAGUUUAAUAUGGUGGGGCUUAUUCAAUUAUCGUCUCAUAGUGGGACUGUUUUGUCUUAUUAGAUGAGAGAGUUAUGAUCAUCUUUUGUUAAAUAUGGUGGGACCUAUUAGUUCAAAUUCGGAAUUGCAUGGCACCCACCUCUUUCGCUCUCAUCUCUCGUCUUCUUAAUUAAAUUAUUUAAAUUGUUCACCUUUUAAUUUUUAUAUAUUUUUGCAGGUAAGCUCUCAUCUCUCGUCUUUUUAAUUAAAUUAUUUAAAUUGUUCACCUUUUGAUUUUUAUAUAUUUUGGUAGGUAAGGUUAAGCCAGUAUACUUUUAGGUAGUUGGAAAUGGACCCUCUUCAAAUUCAAUCUCUAUUUCUACUUCACUUAAAAAUUAAAGAAUGAGGAGAAAGCAUACACAUCGCACCUAAUACUCGAUAGAGAUGAUCAUCAAUGAUGCACCUAACACGUCACACCUUUUGAUUUAUAUUCCCUUUAAUAUAAAUUGCUAACAUAUAAAAUAGUUUAUGGUGGGUUGCAUACCUUGAUGUAAUUACUAAUUAAUUAAUGAUGUCUCCCGCAUGAUGUUUUCAUUCAAAUAUCCCAUCAUGUAUUGCAUUAAAUUAACUGGUGGAGUACUGUUAAUAAAUCCAAUUCUAACCCGACAGCCUCACCCAUUUUUUCACCAAAUCUAACUACUCUCCCACUGAAAGUUUCCACACUCUCCAAUGUCACCAUCUCUUUUGUCUCGACUCUCACCCAAAAUCAUGUACAUAAUUUAUUUUAUCUCGCCAAAUCUAACUACUCUCCCACUAAAAGUCUACAUACUCUCCGGCUGUCCCACGAUUAGCUAUUGAGAAGGAUGAAUGAAAGGCUUUUUGUAAGGAAAUAAUUAAAUGUUUGAUAAAAUAAAUAAUAAAUAAAGAUAUGAUUAAAAAAUAAUAAAUGAAGUUAAUGGUACUGUCAUUCUAUAGUGAAAUACUUCUCUGCUUUAUUAAUAGAGAAUUGUUAUAAAGAUAAAGCAGCAAGAGCACAAGAAAGAAGAGAUCUGCUCAACUCCAUUGUGGAUUAUAGGAAGUCUGUUGAUUCAAUCCCACCCAAGGAUCAAGAGGCGAUCAUUAAUGAGUGCAAUAAAGCAGAGAAGU